UAAUCAACUGUUUUUCUCAGUGGAUUUUGCAAAGACCCUUUCUAAAUUAAAAGGGACAUCACAAUAACCAAUCAUAUAAACUAAUUCUUAGUAAAAUAAAAUGCUCUCGUCUCCUGUGCAAAGUUCUUGUUCUGUUUUUUGUAGUUUCUAACAGCUUUGAUAUUUUAGGCAAGUCAGAACUUGCCUAAACAAACGCUUCAUUAACAAACCUUUUUUAUGUGUGAUUACUCUGGUAUUUUCUACUCUAUUCUAUAUUAUUUUUAAAAAAUACUGGUUGCAACUCAUUAAAUUGAUUUCAGGACCCACUAAUGGGCUACAACCUGCAAUUUGAAAAACAGUGAUUUAAAUAUUCUCUCAUGUCCCUUCUACUUCAGAUAUUUGCUACUAAAUGUGUCUACUGCUUUAUUCUCUUGACUACAACACAAAGCAUAUUAGACACCUACAGCACUGUUAUUUUACAAUUUAUUUUCAAAUCACUUCCAAAGUCGAUUUAAGAUAGUUUACAAUAAAUGCAGAGUUAUGUUUUUAAGGGAAAAGGGAAAAAUGAGAAAUGAUGGAGAAAGUACUUUUCCACUUUUCAGGAAUUAAAAUAGUCAUGGAAAGAAAAAUAAAGUAUCAGGAAAUACAGGUAUCAAGUCAUUUAGUCUAAAUUACUUCUCACUGUACUUUGUUAAAAGGAGAUCAGAAUUUCAAAGACCAGAAGAGGUUGCUGAGAGUGGAAUUGUCCAGCCAUUGCAGCCCUCCUUCCACGGGAGAAAAGAAAGAGGUCUUGGACAAAUGUGGGAUUCCUGUGGUCUGGAAGUAAAUCUGAGGUGGGGUCUUGCUAUGUCACCCAGGCUGGAGUGCAGUGACUAUUCACAGGCAUGAUCAUCGCACACUACAGUGUUAAACUCUGGGCUUAAGCCAUCCUCCUGCCUCAGUCUCUCAAGUAGCUGGGACCACAGGCACAUGCCACCAUGCCUGGCUUGUACUUGAUUUUUAAAGUUCUUGGCAAUGUGUUUCUUAACAAUUAUCUUUGAAAAAUUGUCUUUUGUUGGCAUGUUCUUCUCAUGCAAUUGGAGACAGUUCUUCCUGCUAGUUUCACAUUUUACCUUUUUGGUGGGUUCUACUUGCCCAUUCCACACUGAUAGGAGCAUUUUUUCCCCCCUUUCUUUCCUUUUAUUAUUUUUAUUUUUUAACUUCCUGUGUUAGGCACCAAACCAUACUGCUCUGCCCCUGUUACCAAGAACUUAUGUUGCCAGUAUAAAUAAGAUCACCUGCUUUGUGCAUUGCCGUUCAGAGUGGCAGGGAGUUCAAGAUCCAGUGGUUUCGGGGUAGCACUCCAGGCUGGUAUACAUGGCCUUUUGGACCAUUCAAGUCUACCAGCAGUAAGGAAGAUUAAAGAAAUUGGCAGGAUCUUCAGUGUCAGCCAAUAUUAUCAGCAACUGCUGCACAUUCCGGAAGAACAUCAACACCCCUACUUUGACCCACACGAAUCAAUCGUCCUUGCUGCACCAGUUCUUCUGUAGCACCUGGAAGUGCUGCCAAACAAGGGGCUGACUGGCCAGGGUUGGCUCUUCCAGCCAGCAUUGUUUGUCCUGGGUCUCCAGAAACUGUCUCAUCAGCACUGAAUCUGCAAAUAUGAGUAACAUACACCUGGACAGAGCCCUGGAGGGGGCAGAGAGGUGUUCAGGGAUCAGCAGACGCGCUGAAAAACGGAUCGUCUUGCUGCAGGUGUGGUGGCUGCCAAGGCAGGCAGAGCCCUUUGGAUAGAGCCACAUCUGAGAUGAAAGAAUUAAGGCCCAGGGAAUUUAAUUGACAUCCAGUUACCUGUUCCCCUUCUGGAAAAUUCUUGCUGUGAAAAUUUGACAUUUGAUUAGCCAUUGGUGAGACUUCAGCAGUCCUGGGGAAACUUCAGUCUUCAUUCCAAGGACUCCCUCCCUCUGGAGCCCCCUGGACUGCAGGCGUCUCUUGGAUGCGGAUGUUCCCUCUACACAAGGUGAUCAGAAGGGUAAAUAUUCAGGGUGUGUAUUUACAUGACCAUGAACCAUGCUACUUUUUGUCUGUGAGGAAGGAUGGAUAAAACCUGUAUCUACCACAUUCUGAUAAGAAAAGGGGCCUUCAAGUCAGGCAGAUCUAGAUUUUAGUCUUGCUUCCAAACACACUCAGCUGUGUGACAGAGAGACAACUUACUUGAUCCCUUUAGGUUUCAACUCACUGAUUUGCAAAAUGAGAACAAUACUUGCCCCUAAUGUAAAGGUUUGGGGGAAGGCCAAAUGAGAUAAUGUUUAUGGAACAUUUAGCACAGGGCCUUGCAAAGAAUACAUAAGCAAUUAUUAUUACAGUUGACCCUUGAAUAAUGUGAAAGUUACGGAGGCUGACCCCCGCCAUGCAGUCAAAAAUCUGCAUAUAACUUUUGACUUCUCAAAAACUUAACUACUAAUAGUUGACUUUUGACUGGAAACCUUGCCAAUACUAUAAACAGUCAAUUAGCAUAUAUUUUGCAUAUGUAUUAUAUUCUAUAUUCUUAUAAUAAAGUAAGCUAAAGAAAAUGUUAUUAAGAAAAUCAUAAGGAGAAGAAAAUACAUUUACAGCACUGUACUGUAUGUAUUGAUACCGUAAGUUUCCAUUGCCUGUUCACAAGAUGAAUAAUCUGUCUGAAAUG
Molecule: long non-coding RNA, 2644 nt
Organism: Homo sapiens (human)
Lineage: Eukaryota; Metazoa; Chordata; Mammalia; Primates; Hominidae
Exons: 4
Source: RefSeq, a predicted model, not a curated record